UACGUAGGGGGCUAGCGUUGUCCGGAAUCAUUGGGCGUAAAGAGCGUGUAGGCGGCCCGGUAAGUCCGCUGUGAAAGUCGGGGGCUCAACCCUCGAAUGCCGGUGGAUACUGUCGAGCUUGAGUCCGGAAGAGGCGAGUGGAAUUCCUGGUGUAGCGGUGAAAUGCGCAGAUAUCAGGAGGAACACCAAUGGCGAAGGCAGCUCGCUGGGACGUGACUGACGCUGAGACGCGAAAGCGUGGGGAGCAAACAGG
Molecule: ribosomal RNA, 253 nt
Filed under: uncultured bacterium
Lineage: Bacteria
Description: partial 16S ribosomal RNA
Rfam family: Bacterial small subunit ribosomal RNA
Source: RNAcentral